RNAcentral lists this RNase P RNA (381 nucleotides) under Leeia aquatica. RNAcentral describes it as "Bacterial RNase P class A". It matches the Rfam family "Bacterial RNase P class A". From Rfam's summary of the family: Ribonuclease P (RNase P) is a ubiquitous endoribonuclease, found in archaea, bacteria and eukarya as well as chloroplasts and mitochondria. Lineage: Bacteria; Pseudomonadati; Pseudomonadota; Betaproteobacteria; Neisseriales; Leeiaceae. The record is from Rfam by way of RNAcentral.
GAAGUUUGCCAGACAGUCGCCGCCGUUGCAUGCAGCGGGGGAGGAAAGUCCGGGCUCCACAGGGCAGGAUGCCGGCUAACGGCCGGGCGUCGCGAGGCGACGGAAAGUGCAACAGAGAGCUGAACCGCCGAUGGCCCCUCCGGGGGAUCAGGUAAGGGUGAAAAGGUGCGGUAAGAGCGCACCGCAGCCGUGGCAACACGGUCUGGCAGGGUAAACCCCAUCCGGAGCAAGACCAAAUAGGCAGGCGUUGAAGGUGCCCCCUGAGCCUGCGGGUAGGUUGCUUGAGUCCGCCAGUAAUGGCGGGCCUAGAGGAAUGACUGUCAGUCGUGCCCUGGCAACAGGGCAAGGCAACAGAACCCGGCUUAUCGGCAGACUUCCACA